CCUACGGGUGGCAGCAGUGGGGAAUAUUGGACAAUGGGGGGAACCCUGAUCCAGCGACGCCGCGUGAGUGAAGAAGUCUUUCUGUAUGUAAAGCUCUAUCAGCAGGGAAGAAAGACAUGACGGUACCUGACUACUAAGCCCCGGCUAACUACGUGCCAGCAGCCGCGGUAAUACGGAGGGGGCAAGCGUUAUCCGGAUUUACUGGGUGUAAAGGGAGCGUAGACGGCGAUGCAAGUCUGACGUGAAAGGCGGGGGCCCAACCCCCGGACUGCUUUGGAAACUGUAGGGCUGGAGUGCAGGAGAGGUAAGGGGAAUGCCUAGUGUAGCGGUGAAAUGCGUAGAUAUUAGGAGGAACACCAGUGGCGAAGGCGGCUUACUGGACUGUAACUGACGUUGAGGCUCGAAAGCGUGGGGAGCAAACAGGAUUAGAUACCCUAGUAGUC
RNAcentral lists this ribosomal RNA (443 nucleotides) under uncultured bacterium. RNAcentral describes it as "partial 16S ribosomal RNA". It matches the Rfam family "Bacterial small subunit ribosomal RNA", at positions 338 to 795 of the family's 1533-position model. The record is from RNAcentral.